UGGAUUCCGCCGCCGUGGAGGCGAUGAUCCGGUGCGCGAUCUGCGUGGUGAGGGCGAACUCGCCGGAUCGUUCACUGCCGAAAUCGCUGAAAUCUCCGGAGGAAUUCGCCGACGACUCCGAGAAGGUGCGAUCCAUAUACGUGUAGCUCUCCAUCAUCCCAUCUUCCAUUCUCUCCCGAUCCAACCCCUGUCGCUCCCCUGUGGAAGGAGAGGGAUGAGGAGGAGUAGGAAGAAGAAGAAGAAGAAGAAGAAAGGGAGCGGGUCAACUGCGGAGAUGAGGCUCAGAGCGAUGCUUUUCCUUUAGAACGGCGGAUUGUGGGCCCCCGAGACGCCGGCACGUGCAUCCGCCCCCCGUCGGCUGACUCGUAGUGGUGGGCGCACGUGCGGACCUACGUGGCCGUCGGCCGGAAGGGGGACACUACGGGAGUGGCGUUAAUAUCUGACGGUGCUGCACCGGUCGCGGCAUCAAGGCGCUGACCGCCGACAGACACGUGGAGACGCCGCAAUCACCCACCUGUACUGUACACUAGGUAUUAAAUGAGAGGAAUAUUUGAUAAUACACCCCCG
This 567-nucleotide long non-coding RNA is filed under the name Spirodela polyrhiza (greater duckweed). RNAcentral's name for it is "long non-coding RNA (SPOL_LNC002639)". The record is from RNAcentral. Lineage: Eukaryota; Viridiplantae; Streptophyta; Magnoliopsida; Alismatales; Araceae.